This 392-nucleotide ribosomal RNA is filed under the name marine Metazoa environmental sample. Its description in RNAcentral is "SSU rRNA". It matches the Rfam family "Eukaryotic small subunit ribosomal RNA", at positions 587 to 972 of the family's 1831-position model. The record is from RNAcentral. Lineage: Eukaryota; Metazoa.
AGCUCCAAUAGCGUAUAUUAAAGCUGUUGCAGUUAAAAAGCUCGUAGUUGGACGUCGGGCCGGGGCUUGCGGUCCGCUCGUUGCGGUCACUGCUCGUCUCCUCGGUCGCUGACGAGGUCGCGUCGUCCCGGUGAUGCUCUUAGCUGAGCGUCCCGGGUGGCCGGCAGGUUUACUUUGAAAAAAUUAGAGUGUUCAAGGCAGGCGUUGCACGCCUGGAUAACGGUGCAUGGAAUAAUGGAAUAGGACCUCGGUUCUAUUUUGUUGGUCUUCGGAACCCCGAGGUAAUGAUUAAGAGGGACAGACGGGGGCAUUCGUAUUGUGGCGUUAGAGGUGAAAUUCUUGGAUCGCCGCAAGACGAACUACUGCGAAAGCAUUUGCCAAGAAUGUUUUCA